Molecule: ribosomal RNA, 1245 nt
Filed under: Candidatus Phytoplasma solani
Lineage: Bacteria; Bacillati; Mycoplasmatota; Mollicutes; Acholeplasmatales; Acholeplasmataceae
Description: bacterial SSU rRNA
Rfam family: Bacterial small subunit ribosomal RNA
Source: RNAcentral
GAAAACGACUGCUAAGACUGGAUAGGAAAUAAAAAGGCAUCUUUUUAUUUUUAAAAGACCUAGCAAUAGGUAUGCUUAGGGAAGAGCUUGCGUCACAUUAGUUAGUUGGUGGGGUAAUGGCCUACCAAGACGAUGAUGUGUAGCCGGGCUGAGAGGUCGAACGGCCACAUUGGGACUGAGACACGGCCCAAACUCCUACGGGAGGCAGCAGUAAGGAAUUUUCGGCAAUGGAGGAAACUCUGACCGAGCAAUGCCGCGUGAACGAUGAAGUAUUUCGGUACGUAAAGUUCUUUUAUUAGGGAAGAAAAGAUGGUGGAAAAACCAUUAUGACGGUACCUAAUGAAUAAGCCCCGGCUAACUAUGUGCCAGCAGCCGCGGUAAUACAUAGGGGGCAAGCGUUAUCCGGAAUUAUUGGGCGUAAAGGGUGCGUAGGCGGUUAAAUAAGUUUAUGGUCUAAGUGCAACGCUCAACGUUGUGAUGCUAUAAAAACUGUUUAGCUAGAGUUGGAUAGAGGCAAGUGGAAUUCCGUGUGUAGGGGUAAAAUGCGUAAAUAUACGGAGGAACACCAGAAGCGAAGGCGGCUUGCUGGGUCUUAACUGACGCUGAGGCACGAAAGCGUGGGGAGCAAACAGGAUUAGAUACCCUGGUAGUCCACGCCCUAAACGAUGAGUACUAAACGUUGGAUAAAACCAGUGUUGAAGUUAACACAUUAAGUACUCCGCCUGAGUAGUACGUACGCAAGUAUGAAACUUAAAGGAAUUGACGGGACUCCGCACAAGCGGUGGAUCAUGUUGUUUAAUUCGAAGGUACCCGAAAAACCUCACCAGGUCUUGACAUGCUUUUGCAAAGCUGUAGAAAUACAGUGGAGGUUAUCAGAAGCACAGGUGGUGCAUGGUUGUCGUCAGCUCGUGUCGUGAGAUGUUGGGUUAAGUCCCGCAACGAGCGCAACCCUUGUUGUUAAUUGCCAUCAUUAAGUUGGGGACUUUAGCAAGACUGCCAAUGAUAAAUUGGAGGAAGGUGGGGACGACGUCAAAUCAUCAUGCCCCUUAUGACCUGGGCUACAAACGUGAUACAAUGGCUGUUACAAAGGGUAGCUAAAGCGUAAGCUUCUGGCGAAUCUCAAAAAAGCAGUCUCAGUUCGGAUUGAAGUCUGCAACUCGACUUCAUGAAGUUGGAAUCGCUAGUAAUCGCGAAUCAGCAUGUCGCGGUGAAUACGUUCUCGGGGUUUGUACACACCGCCCGUCA